GCAGAGUUGGCUCAAUUGGUACAGCAUCGGUCUUGAAAACCGACAUUCCUCACGGAUAUCUGGGUUCGAAUCCCAGGCUCUGCGCUA
This 87-nucleotide transfer RNA is filed under the name Butyrivibrio sp. ob235. RNAcentral describes it as "tRNA_Ser_TGA". It matches the Rfam family "tRNA". From Rfam's summary of the family: Transfer RNA (tRNA) molecules are approximately 80 nucleotides in length. Their secondary structure includes four short double-helical elements and three loops (D, anti-codon, and T loops). Lineage: Bacteria; Bacillati; Bacillota; Clostridia; Lachnospirales; Lachnospiraceae. The record is from RNAcentral.